Long non-coding RNA from Chenopodium quinoa (quinoa), 786 nucleotides. RefSeq lists it as uncharacterized. NCBI's taxonomy places the organism in Eukaryota, Viridiplantae, Streptophyta, Magnoliopsida, Caryophyllales, Amaranthaceae. The transcript has 2 exons. The record is from RefSeq and is a predicted model, not a curated record.
AAAAAAGGUGGCCCGUUCAUUUCUCUUCUGCAAGCCGCUCGACGCUCGUUCAUUUCUCUUCUUCAACCUCGCUCCUCCCUCCUCUCCAUAAAGUCGUACCUUGAAUUAUUCAUUGAAGCCGUACUUUAAAUUCUCCAUUGAAGCGGCUUCUGAGCCUUCCAUUCUGCAAUGAAUCAGCUUCUCAGGUGAAACAGGUAUAUCAAUAUUAAUUUCGAAAUUUUGGUGAAAUAGUUCUGUCAAUAUCAAUGUCGAAAUUUUGCUUGAAAAACCCUAAACUACAAAUUCGUUCCAAUUUGGUGAAAUAGGUAUGUCGAAUUUCAAUCAGCGAACCAUAUAAUGUGCCGAAGCUUUCAUCCUCGCAAUUAGUUAAGCAUCAUUUGAAGAAUUUCCCAUCAUAAAGAAAGAGAUCGAGAAAUAAGAGGUUUAUGUAGGUAUAUUUACUGCAUGUUUGUCAUUAUAUAUACUGCAUAGUUUUUAAUAAUUUUUUCAUCAAUAUUGAGUUUUGUACCCGGGUUUUAAUAUAUUAUCAUGUCUAGAGCAACAUUUUAAAUCUGCAUUGCCUAGUAUUUCUCUUAAGAUUUGAAACUUGAAUGUUGGGUUGAAUUGCAAAAGAAGACUCAUGAGAGCAUCAACAACAGAUUGGCUCUUGUUAUGAAGAGUGGAAAGCACACUCUUGGUUACAAGGCUGUUCUCAAAACCCUCAGAUCUUCUAAAAGUUUGUUUUCUAUAAACCCUAAUAACCUAAUUUUUUUUGGGUGUUUGUUAAUUUGAUAUGGGUUUAUCGUA